CCCACUUUAAACUCAACCAGUUAAACAAUACAAAUAUAUUAGCAAGAGCUAUGUUGUGAUAAAAAGGGAUAUUGUUAAAAUAUUGAGCAAGGGGAAAGCUGUGAAAGAGACCGAUAUAUAAAGAGAGAGAGAGAGAAUAGGUUAGAAGGAGAGACAGAAAAAGAAAAAGAGAACUAGAGAUUGAAAAUCGUGAAAUGAUUAGUAUGGCUUAGGUUAUAUGGCUAUACUAUAAACUACUCUGGAGGGACUCAUUGGGUUUGAAGAGAUACACAUUUAUAUACUGGCUUCUCAGCAUUUAUCAAUCUUUU
Molecule: non-coding RNA, 308 nt
Organism: Pelobates cultripes (western spadefoot toad)
Lineage: Eukaryota; Metazoa; Chordata; Amphibia; Anura; Pelobatidae
Source: the annotation of a GenBank genome assembly